Non-coding RNA from Corticium candelabrum, 82 nucleotides. The record is from the annotation of a RefSeq genome assembly. NCBI's taxonomy places the organism in Eukaryota, Metazoa, Porifera, Homoscleromorpha, Homosclerophorida, Plakinidae.
GUCAGAAUGGCCGAGCGGUCUAAGGCGGUGCGUUCAGGUCGCAUUCUCUCAGGAGGCGUGGGUUCGAAUCCCACUUCUGACA